Molecule: non-coding RNA, 59 nt
Filed under: unclassified sequences
Description: Transposase-1 RNA
Rfam family: Transposase-1 RNA
About the family: Lactobacillales (Firmicutes). Environment (Human Microbiome Project, vagina)
Source: Rfam by way of RNAcentral
UGUUAAGAGGUUGCCUCUGUCGUUACCUGCUCAAGCAGAUACGGGAAUGCAACUGUUGA